RNAcentral lists this ribosomal RNA (419 nucleotides) under uncultured eukaryote. Its description in RNAcentral is "bacterial SSU rRNA". It matches the Rfam family "Eukaryotic small subunit ribosomal RNA", at positions 592 to 1018 of the family's 1831-position model. The record is from RNAcentral.
CAGUAGCGUAUAUUAGUUGUUGCAGUUAGCUCGUAGUUGGAUUUCUGGCUCGACGGAGCUGACCCGCGGCGCAAGCCGUGAGUGUCGGUCUCGGUCUGCCAUCCUUCCAGAGAACGUUCCUACCCUUCAUUGGGCCGGGUUCGCAAUCUGGGACUUUUACUUUGAGGAAUUAGAGUGUUCAAAGCAGGCUUGCGCUGUGAAUACAUUAGCAUGGAAUAUCAACUUAGGACUUUGGUUCUAUUUUGUUGGUUUCUAGGACUGAAGUAAUGAUUGAUAGGGAUAGUUGGGGGCAUUUUUAUUCCAUUGUCAGAGGUGAAAUUCUUGGAUUAACGGAAGAAAACUACUGCGAAAGCAUCUGCCAAGGAUGUUUUCAUUGAUCAAGAACGAAAGUUAGGGGAUCAAAGAUGAUCAGAUACCAU